Molecule: ribosomal RNA, 497 nt
Filed under: uncultured bacterium
Lineage: Bacteria
Description: partial 16S ribosomal RNA
Rfam family: Bacterial small subunit ribosomal RNA
Source: RNAcentral
GAUGAACGCUGGCGGCGUGCCUAAUACAUGCAAGUCGAGCGAACGGACGAGAAGCUUGCUUUUCUGAUGUUAGCGGCGGACGGGUGAGUAACACGUGGAUAACCUACCUAUAAGACUGGGAUAACUUCGGGAAACCGGAGCUAAUACCGGAUAAUAUUUUGAACCGCAUGGUUCAAAAGUGAAAGACGGUCUUGCUGUCACUUAUAGAUGGAUCCGCGCUGCAUUAGCUAGUUGGUAAGGUAACGGCUUACCAAGGCAACGAUGCAUAGCCGACCUGAGAGGGGGAUCGGCCACACGGGAACUGAGACACGGUCCAGACUACUACGGGAGGCAGCAGUAGGGAAUCUUACGCAAUGGGCGAAAGCCUGACGGAGCAACGCCGCGUGAGUGAUGAAGGUCUUCGGAUCGUAAAACUCUGUUAUUAGGGAAGAACAUAUGUGUAAGGAACUGUGCACAGCUUGACGGUACCUAAUCAGAAAGCCACGGCUAACUACGUG